Non-coding RNA from Dermacentor albipictus, 345 nucleotides. The record is from RefSeq and is a predicted model, not a curated record. NCBI's taxonomy places the organism in Eukaryota, Metazoa, Arthropoda, Arachnida, Ixodida, Ixodidae.
GCGUGAUUAACAACACAGCGUAAUGCGCAACGGUGAACGCCAACGAACUCCACCACCAACCUGGACGAAGCAUUUUGGACUGAAGCUGCCUCGAUAUCUACAAUACAUUGGAUACUACGUGCAGGAUAAUGAAUGGCUACCUGAACGAUGCUUGAAGCGGCAAGCUCUACAGUAUCACUUAUGCUCCUUUCCAUGGGUUGGCAAGAGGAACCGUGGCACACAGCUCCACAGGCACCUGUGCUCUUCACUACCUUCGGAGAAGAUGCAUUGGAUGCUCCCUAUCAUGCACUGCCAUCUCAACAGUACCAUGGCUUUUUGUGUGGAUUCCUUCCAUUUUGAAUGCCA